UACGUAGGGUGCAAGCGUUGUCCGGAAUUAUUGGGCGUAAAGAGCUCGUAGGCGGUCUGUCGCGUCGGACGUGAAAAUCCAGGGCUCAACCCUGGACCUGCGUUCGAUACGGGCAGACUAGAGUUCGGUAGGGGAGACUGGAAUUCCUGGUGUAGCGGUGAAAUGCGCAGAUAUCAGGAGGAACACCGAUGGCGAAGGCAGGUCUCUGGGCAUUAACUGACGCUGAGGAGCGAAAGCAUGGGGAGCGAACAGG
This 253-nucleotide ribosomal RNA is filed under the name uncultured bacterium. RNAcentral's name for it is "partial 16S ribosomal RNA". It matches the Rfam family "Bacterial small subunit ribosomal RNA", at positions 524 to 776 of the family's 1533-position model. The record is from RNAcentral.